RNAcentral lists this ribosomal RNA (468 nucleotides) under uncultured bacterium. RNAcentral's name for it is "partial 16S ribosomal RNA". It matches the Rfam family "Bacterial small subunit ribosomal RNA", at positions 28 to 507 of the family's 1533-position model. The record is from RNAcentral.
GACGAACGCUGGCGGCGUGCUUAACACAUGCAAGUCGAACGGAAAGGCCCUGCUUUUGUGGGGUGCUCGAGUGGCGAACGGGUGAGUAACACGUGAGUAACCUGCCCUUGACUUUGGGAUAACUUCAGGAAACUGGGGCUAAUACCGGAUAGGAGCUCCUGCUGCAUGGUGGGGGUUGGAAGGUUUCGGCGGUUGGGGAUGGACUCGCGGCUUAUCAGCUUGUUGGUGGGGUAGUGGCUUACCAAGGCUUUGACGGGUAGCCGGCCUGAGAGGGUGACCGGCCACAUUGGGACUGAGAUACGGCCCAGACUCCUACGGGAGGCAGAAGUGGGGAAUAUUGCACAAUGGGCGGAAGCCUGAUGCAGCAACGCCGCGUGCGGGAUGACGGCCUUCGGGUUGUAAACCGCUUUCGCCUGUGACGAAGCGUGAGUGACGGUAAUGGGUAAAGAAGCACCGGAUAACUACGUG